GAUGAACGCUGGCGGCGUGCCUAAUACAUGCAAGUCGAACGCUGGAAAUCUAGCUUGCUAGAUUGAAGGAGUGGCGAACGGGUGAGUAAUACAUAAGCAACCUACCCACGAAGACUGGGAUAAUCUCUGGAAACGGGGACUAAUACCGGAUAGGUAAUCGGAAGGCAUCUUCUGAUUAUUAAAGGUUAAAAACACUGGUGGAUGGGCUUAUGGCGCAUUAGUUAGUUGGUGAGGUAACGGCCCACCAAGACGAUGAUGCGUAGCCGGCCUGAGAGGGUGAACGGCCACAUUGGGACUGAGACACGGCCCAGACUCCUACGGGAGGCAGCAGUAGGGAAGUUUCGGCAAUGGGGGAAACCCUGACCGAGCAACGCCGCGUGAGUGAUGACGGCCUUCGAGUUGUAAAGCUCUGUUGUAAGGGAAGAACGGUAGAUAGAGAAUAUCUAAAUGACGGUACCUUACCAGAAAGCCACGGCUAACUACGUG
Molecule: ribosomal RNA, 486 nt
Filed under: uncultured bacterium
Lineage: Bacteria
Description: partial 16S ribosomal RNA
Rfam family: Bacterial small subunit ribosomal RNA
Source: RNAcentral